Molecule: non-coding RNA, 88 nt
Filed under: Pediococcus pentosaceus
Lineage: Bacteria; Bacillati; Bacillota; Bacilli; Lactobacillales; Lactobacillaceae
Description: Purine riboswitch
Rfam family: Purine riboswitch aptamer
About the family: Riboswitches are metabolite binding domains within certain messenger RNAs that serve as precision sensors for their corresponding targets.
Source: RNAcentral
UCAAAUAAAACUUAGCCUAUAUAAUGUCUUAAUCUGGUUGACAGUUUCUACCCAACGCCGUAAAUGUUGGACUAUAGGAAAACUAACU